AAUAAGUGCAUUUUUGCGCUAUUCAUGUUCAACAUUUGACCGUCCGUCUUAUUUGAAAAUUUUUUAUGAUUAGUAUUUUUAUUGCUAUUAGAUGAUAAAACAUGAAUAGUACUUUAUGUGUGACUAAAUGUUUUUAAUUUUUUCACAAAUUUUUCAAAUAAGACGGACGGUCAAACGUUGAACGUGAAUAGUGCAAAACUGCACUUAUU
Oryza sativa Japonica Group (Japanese rice) is the source of this 209-nucleotide microRNA precursor. It matches the Rfam family "MIR812 microRNA precursor family". The record is from Rfam. Lineage: Eukaryota; Viridiplantae; Streptophyta; Magnoliopsida; Poales; Poaceae.